CCCACUGAGCCAACCAGGCGCCCCAUAAAACUCCAUUUUAUUUUGAAUUACAUAUGGAAGUGACUGUUAAUGUCAAGAUCUUUUUACUGUCUUUCCAAUUUUUUAGUACAUUAGGUCUUAGUUUGAGCCCCAUAAAAUAUAAAUACUCUUGAGAAACUCUAACUUUGCAUUCCGUUUCUAUUUCUGUGCAACAAACUACCAUACAUUUAGCAACUUAAAACAACACCCAUGUAUUAGCUUUGUGAUUUAGACCAGUCACUUCAUUUCUGGGCUUCAAGUUUCUCCUCUGUCGUGUUCUGUGCAUGAAAUGGGGCUGUUUUUAAAGAGUGUUGUCAGUUUAGACUUUCUGAAACUUGGUUCCAAAGUCACACAGGCUCUCUAGUUGUACAGAUGCUUGGCAUCACUUACAAGGAGCGAUGAAAGGGCUGAGGAUGGCUCAUUAAAAUGGAACCCUAUCGAAUGUGCGCUGCCAACAGAGCCCCAGGGGUCACGGUAGCAUCUGAAGGGUAGCUUUCGAAAAGUAAUUGAUACUAGAGGAUGGUCAGGAUGAGGAUGGCCAGACUUGUGUUUCACAAGGUCAUUCAUUCAAGCACUCUUACUCCCAAGCAUCUGGACAGCACUCCCUACCAUGCUUGGGGCUUUCAGAGAUCAAAGUAAAAAACAAUAACAGGGCUUCUUAUAUUUAGGAGCAGACCAGGUAUGGAAGACACUAGGGCUGCCCACCAGUAUUUCCUGCUUUCCUUCCUUCGGCCAAACAGUAUGAUUGUACUUCCCCAGCCUCUGAAGGUGGAUAUUCCAUGUGAUGUUUUUGGUGAAUGAGCCGUGAGUGGGAGAGGAGUAGGUCCCUUCUGAGUGGAAACACUUAAGAACUGAGGAGAAUCUAGUACAAACCAAACAUCAACCCCCAAAUCUGAAAUUUAGGACCACACUUUAUGGAGAUGGAGCCUGCGUUGUUCUCAAACCAGCCAAGUAUCUCCACACUGUAGGACAGCCCAGGAGCUGAGCUGGCUUGCAAGAAUGCUCCCUCCGUAGAUGCCAGACAGCUACAACCUGGGAUUCCUGACAUGAGCGUGGCUUUCCUGUGGCCUCCAUCAUCCGCGACAUUGAUGGCAUGAGCUAAUUCUGCAAGCACACACAAUGCUCGUGUGUCAUCAAGAUUUUAUGAUGCUCUGAUAUCUUGGAGACUAGCUGACAGGGGAGACACUGUCCCUCUCAGGGUAAGCCAAUUCCUAGAGAGAGCUAUGACUUCUCUGUACCAAACCAAAAACCGACUGAUCCAAAGCCCAUCUCCCCUACCCACCUCCUCUUUUGGGCUCUCACAUUCUGGGCCACUAUUCCCUGCCGCCGUAAUCACCACAGGGCCAGGUACCAGACAGCUAGGGACAGCCCCUAUGCCCUGAACCUCCUUUAAGUAUUCCUGUUAGCCAAUCCUAAGUGUACAAGGCCUGCUAACCCUGCCUCAUCCAUUUCUUCCAGCCAAAACCACGAGAAAAGUUCUCACCCAUGCUUUCUCCUUGCUUCCUCUGCCUCCGGACUAACUCACUCCUUCCUCCUAAGGCUCUGACAGUGUGGUGUGUGCC
Molecule: long non-coding RNA, 1580 nt
Organism: Ailuropoda melanoleuca (giant panda)
Lineage: Eukaryota; Metazoa; Chordata; Mammalia; Carnivora; Ursidae
Exons: 5
Source: RefSeq, a predicted model, not a curated record